CCUUCAACUAUUCCACAGGUAUUUAUUAGGCAUCUGUUUUGUGCCAGGUGCUUGUUAGGCAAUGGGGAUAAGAAAGGGGGUAGAAGAGCCCCCUUUCCUCCCAGAAAGCUGUAGUUGGGGAAACAGACAAAGACACAAGUAAGUAUGUAACAUUGUGUCAGCCAGGGACAGGGAGAAAGGAAGGACGAAUAACAACAUCAGGCAUAACCCCAAAUCACACGUGUCCUGGUAAAGGAUGGACCCCGUGGGGAGACAGGAAUAAAAACCCAUCCUGGAAGGCUGCCCGACACCCUUUUUGGGGAAGGAGGUGGGACCGGACGCCAGGCAGGCAGUGCUGGCCAAGGUCAGAUGGAGUUUGCCUGUGAAUCCUCCAAGAGGCUUGCCUGACGGCGCAGCGACCCCCACCUCAGCUCUCCAGCGAUGUCUGAGUUCCUGCUGCCGUGACCCGAGUACCAGGGAUUGUUCGACAAAUGGGGACCAGAUGGAUGAUCUUCCCGAUGGGACUCAGGAGGGAGCAUUAUCUCCAGGUCAUACAGACCUCCUAAAUCACCUCCACCUUCCUGUAGCCUGGCUGGAAAGUCUACCCCUGGGCAUUUUCUCUCGUUGGCUGAGCCCAGGGUUAAUUCCACACGUCCACAUUCAUUCUUGGGGGUUGUCUUUUCUGCAGGCCCCUUGCUUGAAAAUAGAAACACCCCUGGAAAGAAGUUCCAAAGUCAGAGCUCUUGGGUUGGGACAGAGUGUGGAUUCCCAUAUCUGCCACUUAGAAACUGGGUAAUCAGGCAAACCGUUUCCUCUCUCUGAGUCUCAGAUACCCACUGGGAUCAAUUGUCUUUAUAGGACCUCUCUCCUGCGGCUCUUAGAAAGAUCAGGUUCAUCAGUGGUUUGAAAAACUGCUUUAGAAGCUGUGAAGCUGUAUCAGUCAGAUGAGGUUAAGCCGUGUUGUAGUAACAAACCCAGAACUUUCAGUGGCUUAACACAUAAUUAUUUCUCUCUCAUACCGAGUUCUCUGGUUCCACCUUUUGGCUUCACUCUCUCAACUCCUGGCUUCCCAAGUCACCGCGACAGGGGUUUAAGGUCUGGAGAGCCCACACCAGCCUUUAAAUGCUUCGAACCUGAAAUGACACUCGUCACCUCCGCACCUAGCCCGUUGGUCAGAAUUAGGACAUGGCGAGGACCGCCGGCAAAGAGGCUGGGGAAUGUGGGGGAACGCGGGAAUACUUGGCGAGCUGUCGGUGUCUCGGCCACGACAGCAAGCUACGAUUAGGAGAGACUGUGAUUAUUAUUCGCCAGAGCAGUUUUUCUCUGUCUCUCGCUCAUUUUUACGGGGAGCCGGAGCAGAGACGGUCGAGCCGUGAAGUUGCAUCUGGGACAGGAUGGAGUGUCUGUAUGCUCAGGGCAAGAGGGAAGGGCCCAGAGAAAGGGGGUGCAGAUAUGGGGCGAGGGACGGCAGCCCCACUGGAUGCAUUCUCUGCUAGAUUUAAGUUGGUCCUGGACCCUGGAGAAUAAAGGCCUCCUGCCCAGCACCAGUCACCACAGUCUGCUGGCCCCUGCCGGGGUCUCACUGACACUCCCUGGGUCCCCGCCCAGGCCAGCCAGGACCCCUUAAUUCUCCAAUUAUCUGUGGCUAGAGACCGGCUUUGUUUCUCCGACCUCUGGUGGACUUCCGAAAGGCACGACUAGAGAAGUUGCCCAACCCAGAAAGUAGGCCCGCUGGAAUACUCUAGAAAAGAACCCAGUAAACAGACCAUCACUUGGAAGAUACUCUGGGAACAACAACAACAAAAAAAUCUAAAUAAGACGAUACAGAAAAGAAUCCAGAGGCUAAAGAAAUGAAUUUGCGACGCACGUUGGCAAACUCAGAUUAAAAAAAAAAAAAAAAGAC
This is a long non-coding RNA of Felis catus (domestic cat), 1882 nucleotides long. RefSeq lists it as uncharacterized. The transcript is spliced from 2 exons. The record is from RefSeq and is a predicted model, not a curated record. NCBI's taxonomy places the organism in Eukaryota, Metazoa, Chordata, Mammalia, Carnivora, Felidae.